This 498-nucleotide ribosomal RNA is filed under the name uncultured bacterium. RNAcentral's name for it is "bacterial SSU rRNA". It matches the Rfam family "Bacterial small subunit ribosomal RNA", at positions 30 to 523 of the family's 1533-position model. The record is from RNAcentral.
AUUGAACGCUGGCGGAAUGCUUUACACAUGCAAGUCGAACGGCAGCACGGGGCAACCUGGUGGCGAGUGGCGAACGGGUGAGUAAUAUAUCGGAACGUGCCCAAUCGUGGGGGAUAACGUAGCGAAAGUUACGCUAAUACCGCAUACGAUCUACGGAUGAAAGCGGGGGAUCGCAAGACCUCGCGCGAAUGGAGCGGCCGAUAUCAGAUUAGGUAGUUGGUGGGGUAAAGGCUCACCAAGCCAACGAUCUGUAGCUGGUCUGAGAGGACGACCAGCCACACUGGAACUGAGACACGGUCCAGACUCCUACGGGAGGCAGCAGUGGGGAAUUUUGGACAAUGGGCGCAAGCCUGAUCCAGCCAUUCCGCGUGCAGGAUGAAGGCCUUCGGUUGUAAACUGCUUUGUACGGUAACGAAACGGUACUGCCCUAAUACGGCAGGCUAAUGACGGUACCGUAAGAAUAAGCACCGGCUAACUACGUGCCAGCAGCCGCGGUAA